This 246-nucleotide ribosomal RNA is filed under the name uncultured Clostridia bacterium. RNAcentral's name for it is "partial 16S ribosomal RNA". It matches the Rfam family "Bacterial small subunit ribosomal RNA", at positions 796 to 1041 of the family's 1533-position model. The record is from RNAcentral. Lineage: Bacteria; Bacillati; Bacillota; Clostridia.
CACGCUGUAAACGAUGGAUGCUAGGUGUAGGAGGUAUCGACCCCUUCUGUGCCGGAGUUAACACAAUAAGCAUCCCGCCUGGGGAGUACGGCCGCAAGGUUGAAACUCAAAGGAAUUGACGGGGGCCCGCACAAGCAGCGGAGCAUGUGGUUUAAUUCGAAGCAACGCGAAGAACCUUACCAGGUCUUGACAUCGAUGGAACCUGUAGAGAUACGGGGUGCCCUUCGGGGCCCUGAAGACAGGUGG